Molecule: non-coding RNA, 1067 nt
Organism: Camellia sinensis
Lineage: Eukaryota; Viridiplantae; Streptophyta; Magnoliopsida; Ericales; Theaceae
Source: RefSeq, a predicted model, not a curated record
UACCGACUGAGGUGAGGGACCAGUAUGCGAGGGCUUAGGGCACAUCUCAUUUCUGGAUUCUGCUGGAGGGCCCAGUCUGCUGGGCUUGGUUUCUGAGAGAGCGAUUUGUACGCUAGAUCGUAGGCUCGCAUGAUUCAAUCAUUCCAAUGCCACCCCCAACGUCUAUACGAACGGUAGAUAGCCUAUCAGUUAAGGCUAUUAUUCAGUUCAUUGCAGGCCCGGAUGCGGACUUCUUCAGAGCAGGGGGUGAUUAUGCAACAUUUAUCCAGACUCAUCUCAUGCCUCCUCUAAUGAAUGUUCGCGCAUGCGAGGUAGCAGGAGCUCCCAUGGUGGGUGAGGCGACUCGAGCGACCAAGGCCCAUACUAGAGGGGUCCUUCCUGUUGGGCAGAUGACCAGUUGGUCGAAGAUUCCUACUAUACUCACAUAUUGGCAGCCGACUGGGACUGCCUACCAGAUUUUGAUUGACCAAGCAGAGGCAGGGCACAAGUAUGUUAGAGCUCAAGGCAUGCCUCAAGCACCUACUAUGGAGUAUGCAGAGAGCCUCCUCGAGCUAGUUGCCUCUCUGAUCGGCAUGGUGUAGAGGAGAGAGACGCUGUUUGGUCUCCACGGUAUUCAGAUCCCAACUGUACCGAGGGCACCAGUGGCAGUGGCAGCAUCAGCACCAGUAGUACCUCCUCCAGCAGCAGGGAGGCGAGAGAGACAGGCCCCAGUACGCAGCUGAGACGAGCGUCGCGGUUGAGGUAAGGACAAGGGUGCUCGAGGCCGGAGUAGUCCUUCAGAGCCCGUUCUGAGUGGUGAUGAUGAUGACGAGGCCAGCGUCUCUGAGGAGAUAGUAAGUCCACAUUCUGAGUCUGAGAGCGGGAACGAUGAUACCGGCUCAGGGUCGGGGAGCGGAGAUGACACCGAGGUUGGCUCCAAGGCAGGGAGCAGAGGCUCAGAGUUUGGUUUUGACAGCGGUGCCAACGGAGACAGUGCCUCUGAGUCCCCUCCGAGGAAGAGGAUGAAGAGGGCCUCUCGAGCUUGAGAUGAUUGACACUGUUUUUUGGACUUUUUUGCUUAGUUUCUU